Molecule: long non-coding RNA, 816 nt
Organism: Balaenoptera musculus (blue whale)
Lineage: Eukaryota; Metazoa; Chordata; Mammalia; Artiodactyla; Balaenopteridae
Exons: 4
Source: RefSeq, a predicted model, not a curated record
CACUUGGGUUGCUUCCACCUUUUGGCUACUGUGAACAGUGCUGCUGUGAACAGAGGUGCAAAUACCUGCUCAAGUCCCUGCUUUAGGUCUUCUGUGAAUGUCCUCUCAUCAUGCCCUUUUUCUGAGUAUUUAGGUUGUGUCCAAUCUCUCCGUUCUGUAAAUAAUCACGUCCUGAACAUCUCUGUGUCAGAGCUUCUUGCUAAAGGUAUUUGGAAGAUUACUCAGCAUUCAAGUCUCGGAACUGGGAUCGUGAUCUCAGAGCUCAUUUCAAACGCAUGGUCCCAGGCGUUAUCCCACCACUCCCUCCCUGCUCCAGAAGCUUUGGCAUCUUGUGUGUUCAACAACUUUUCCUUUUUUCUCUUUGGUUCCUAGAAAGGACAAACUUAACCUUGAGGUUUGCAGUGUUCCUUUGCCAUUUUAUCUGUCAGGGAACCAACCUGGGUGAUCCAGCUGUUUUUCCAGAUAAAGUUUGGAAUCAUUUCGUCAUUUUGCCUAAAAGCAAAACAAACCCAGUGGCCUUCUGAUGUACCGGCCGUGCUGUCAGCACAGGACAGUCCUGUGGUUCGUCGUCUUCCCUUCAUCCCAGGUGUUUGGGAAGCACCUACCGCCAACCCAUGAAUGACUGUGGAGACGCGAGAGGGACGAGACGAUCGCUGCCCUGCUCUUCUGGACCUGAGCACCCUCCGCGAUGCCUGGCCUGGGCUCCUGCAAUAACACUGGUCCGCAGAAGGAAAGAACCCCGGCCUGGGAAUCUGCGCGGGACCGCCCGUGAUUGUCUCUGCCCUCGGCGCCCGGCCGCGGCCCCUCUGGAUUGGC